GUCCAGGUUGGUCUUGAACUCCUGGCCUCAAGUGAUCCUUCUGCCUUGGCCUUCCAAAAUGUUGGGAUUACAGGUUUGAGCCACUAUGGCCGGCCUCCAGCUUUCUUUUGAAUCGUGUCAAAACCGAAGUGUGACUUACCAUUGAUGAGUUUGGGAGAGAAACCAGGAAUAUAUAGUUCAGCCCCUUCGCUCUUUGGAGCUGGCUACCUGUAGAAAGCACCCGUUCUGAUCUGCCCCUGCAAGCUGUUUAAAGAGUCAGGCCCCACCUGGGCAAGACUGUAGUGUUCCAUGCUGCUUAUACUCAGGUGAGCCUGCCUAUUUCUUGUUUUGUAAUUCAAAACUCUAUUG
Molecule: long non-coding RNA, 348 nt
Filed under: Homo sapiens (human)
Lineage: Eukaryota; Metazoa; Chordata; Mammalia; Primates; Hominidae
Description: HSALNT0187592
Source: RNAcentral